Molecule: ribosomal RNA, 253 nt
Filed under: uncultured bacterium
Lineage: Bacteria
Description: partial 16S ribosomal RNA
Rfam family: Bacterial small subunit ribosomal RNA
Source: RNAcentral
GACGUAGGAGGCGAGCGUUAUCCGGAUUCACUGGGCGUAAAGCGCAUGUAGGCGGACUCUUAAGUCGGUGGUGAAAUCCUGGAGCUCAACUCCAGAACUGCCUUCGAUACUGAGAGUCUCGAGUCCGGGAGAGGUGAGUGGAACUGCGAGUGUAGAGGUGAAAUUCGUAGAUAUUCGCAAGAACACCAGUGGCGAAGGCGGCUCACUGGCCCGGUACUGACGCUGAGGUGCGAAAGCGUGGGGAGCAAACAGG